GGAGCAACGCCGCGUGAGUGAAGAAGGGUUUCGGCUCGUAAAGCUCUGUUGGUAGUGAAGAAAGAUAGAGGUAGUAACUGGCCUUUAUUUGACGGUAAUUACUUAGAAAGUCACGGCUAACUACGUGCCAGCAGCCGCGGUAAUACGUAGGUGGCAAGCGUUGUCCGGAUUUAUUGGGCGUAAAGCGAGUGCAGGCGGUUCAAUAAGUCUGAUGUGAAAGCCUUCGGCUCAACCGGAGAAUUGCAUCAGAAACUGUUGAACUUGAGUGCAGAAGAGGAGAGUGGAACUCCAUGUGUAGCGGUGGAAUGCGUAGAUAUAUGGAAGAACACCAGUGGCGAAGGCGGCUCUCUGGUCUGCAACUGACGCUGAGGCUCGAAAGCAUGGGUAGCGAACAAGAUUAGAUACCCUGGUAGUCCAUGCCGUAAACGAUGAGUGCUAAGUGUUGGGAGGUUUCCGCCUCUCAGUGCUGCAGCUAACGCAUUAAGCACUCCGCCUGGGGAGUACGACCGCAAGGUUGAAACUCAAAGGAAUUGACGGGGGCCCGCACAAGCGGUGGAGCAUGUGGUUUAAUUCGAAGCAACGCGAAGAACC
Molecule: ribosomal RNA, 591 nt
Filed under: Lactobacillus gasseri
Lineage: Bacteria; Bacillati; Bacillota; Bacilli; Lactobacillales; Lactobacillaceae
Description: bacterial SSU rRNA
Rfam family: Bacterial small subunit ribosomal RNA
Source: RNAcentral